Non-coding RNA from Pelobates cultripes (western spadefoot toad), 258 nucleotides. Lineage: Eukaryota; Metazoa; Chordata; Amphibia; Anura; Pelobatidae. The record is from the annotation of a GenBank genome assembly.
CCACAUUCUUCAUUGUCAUAUGUCCAUCAAAGUAAUACAUCCUUCACUCACAGUCAUACUCUAUAUUAACAAUUCAUAUUAGCAGACUUAACAAUCCAGGUGUCCUAUCCACAAUCCUCUGUUCCGUAAACCAUUGACAAAACAUCGCAGCCCCAUAGGUUUAGUGAAGUCAAGUGUUCACUCUCUCCAUCUUCUUGAAAACUGGUGUUCCAUACCAAACUCUUAAAAUAAGAGUCACUGUGGACAGCCAAGUCCAGG